RNAcentral lists this ribosomal RNA (200 nucleotides) under uncultured bacterium. RNAcentral describes it as "partial 16S ribosomal RNA". It matches the Rfam family "Bacterial small subunit ribosomal RNA", at positions 28 to 229 of the family's 1533-position model. The record is from RNAcentral.
GAUGAACGCUAGCGGCAGGCCUAAUACAUGCAAGUCGAGGGGUAGUGGUUGCUUGCAACCAUGAGACCGGCGCACGGGUGCGUAACGCGUAUGCAACCUACCUUCAUCAGGGGGAUAGCCCGGAGAAAUCCGGAUUAAUACCGCAUAAAAUCACAGUACCGCAUGGUACAAUGAUCAAACAUUUAUGGGAUGGAGAUGGG